UUUGGAUCCAUCACAUUUUAAACGUAAGAAAUGGCGGCGUUUUGCAUUUUAACGAUAGCUGCUUGCCUCUCAUUAACACUUGCACAGAUGUCAAGCUUAAAUGACCUGCUUACCCUUCAAGCACUUGACGUUGAUAUUCCUGAAGCAGCUAUUGGGCAUGCUCUAAGAGGAGGAGGUGGGGGAUUAUCUUCCUUAUUAUCUAGAAGAAGAGGACAACAUAACUUUGGUCUCCAGUUUGGAAGACAAACAAGUGUACCGCAGACAAUUCUACCACAAGCAAAUUUACAACAAGCCCAAUUACAGCAAUCGAAUCUUGGAUCAUUUGGGAAUACAAGACAGACAUUACAACAGUUCUCAGGAGGUAAUGCUCUUCAGCAAAGGGGAAAUGUUGGAUUUCUUAACCAACAACAACAAACACUAGCACCUGCAAACGUUGGACAGUUUGCAUCAAAUGCACUUGUCAAUGGUGGAAACACAGGUUUAACACAGAUGACUCAACAAUCAAAAUUAAGCGACUUUGGAACCGGCGGUCAGAAUUUAUUUUCUCAACAAUCUUCUCUGAAUGCAUUGGGAGGUUCUCAAUUUGGAAGUUUAUUAGGUCAGAAUAGAUUAACUGAUUCUACAUUCGCUGGAAUACAACGAGGAAAUCAAUUACAAGGGUUUGGAAGAACAAGCAGAUCACUUAGACGUGGAGGAGUAGGAGGCAGUAGAUUAUCAGUGCUAGGCUAAUUUUAUAAAAAAGGUAUGUGUUUCGAGGAAGAUAGUUUCAGCAUAUAGAUUUCAUAUAUUUUUUCUAAUAAAUAUUCAUUUAUUUUAUUGAUUAUUAUUAUAGAAUUUAUGUGAAAUCCAAAUACAUAUAUUUGUAUAACAUUUUAUAAAUAUAUGGUGUUUUAGUCUAUUCGUGUACAAUUUUAAAUAAUGACUGUAAUAAUUGAAUACACAGAAAUCAUGUAUUAGAUUUCAUUUGAUGCCACUUCAAAUCCGGCAGUUAACAGCAAAUCAUCUGCACUAAUCCAAAAUUUCAGACCAAACUAAAGGAGACACAAGAUGGGUAGAAAAUGUCGAAUCGUUGUCAUGAUACACUCUUAGAUGUCCAUUUUUUGUUGUCAAGAAAAAUAUCUGAAAAUAAAGCAGGGUUUUGCUAUAUUUUCGGGAUAUACUAUUAUUUUUAUCUAUAUCAUACACACAUCAAGAUUACAUCUAUUGUAUAUUUUUCCAUUUGUAUUUAUUAUAAAUCAUUUUAAUUCUCAUCCUUAACAUCCUUCUUAUAGACUCUCAUACAUCUCUUCAAUAAAUGUGCAUUUUCAUGUUUAUUUAGAUAAUCUUCUGACCACUUUUUGUCGUGGUUGUAGUAAAUAUUCAAUAGAAACGUCUACCAGCCAGUACUAGCACAAACUCAUGACAACGCAUUGUGUUUUGAUAUUGGAAAUGUGAUAUUUUCGGAAUUAAAUCAUCCGACGUAGUGUGAAAUGAUGUAACCUAUGUAUAACAAUUGUUCACAUGUAGAUAUUAAAGUGAUUUAAGGAC
Long non-coding RNA from Mytilus californianus (California mussel), 1527 nucleotides. RefSeq lists it as uncharacterized. NCBI's taxonomy places the organism in Eukaryota, Metazoa, Mollusca, Bivalvia, Mytilida, Mytilidae. The record is from RefSeq and is a predicted model, not a curated record. The transcript is spliced from 3 exons.